Molecule: ribosomal RNA, 1489 nt
Filed under: metagenome
Description: bacterial SSU rRNA
Rfam family: Bacterial small subunit ribosomal RNA
Source: RNAcentral
AGAGUUUGAUCCUGGCUCAGAUUGAACGCUGGCGGCAUGCCUUACACAUGCAAGUCGAACGGUAACGCGGGGCAACCUGGCGACGAGUGGCGAACGGGUGAGUAAUGCAUCGGAACGUGCCCAGUAGUGGGGGAUAGCCCGGCGAAAGCCGGAUUAAUACCGCAUACGACCUAUGGGUAAAGGCGGGGGACUCGCAAGAGCCUCGCACUAUUGGAGCGGCCGAUGUCAGAUUAGCUAGUUGGUGGGGUAAAGGCCUACCAAGGCGACGAUCUGUAGCUGGUCCGAGAGGACGACCAGCCACACUGGGGCUGAGACACGGCCCAGACUCCUACGGGAGGCAGCAGUGGGGAAUUUUGGACAAUGGGCGCAAGCCUGAUCCAGCCAUGCCGCGUGCGGGAAGAAGGCCUUCGGGUUGUAAACCGCUUUUGUCAGGGAAGAAACGCUCUGGGCUAAUACCCCGGGGUAAUGACGGUACCUGAAGAAUAAGCACCGGCUAACUACGUGCCAGCAGCCGCGGUAAUACGUAGGGUGCAAGCGUUAAUCGGAAUUACUGGGCGUAAAGCGUGCGCAGGCGGUUAUGCAAGACAGAUGUGAAAUCCCCGGGCUCAACCUGGGAACUGCAUUUGUGACUGUAUAGCUAGAGUACGGUAGAGGGGGAUGGAAUUCCGCGUGUAGCAGUGAAAUGCGUAGAUAUGCGGAGGAACACCGAUGGCGAAGGCAAUCCCCUGGACCUGUACUGACGCUCAUGCACGAAAGCGUGGGGAGCAAACAGGAUUAGAUACCCUGGUAGUCCACGCCCUAAACGAUGUCAACUGGUUGUUGGACGGCUUGCUGUUCAGUAACGAAGCUAACGCGUGAAGUUGACCGCCUGGGGAGUACGGCCGCAAGGUUGAAACUCAAAGGAAUUGACGGGGACCCGCACAAGCGGUGGAUGAUGUGGUUUAAUUCGAUGCAACGCGAAAAACCUUACCUACCCUUGUCAUGUCAAGAAUCUUGCAGAGAUGUGAGAGUGCUCGAAAGAGAACUUGAACACAGGUGCUGCAUGGCCGUCGUCAGCUCGUGUCGUGAGAUGUUGGGUUAAGUCCCGCAACGAGCGCAACCCUUGUCAUUAGUUGCUACGAAAGGGCACUCUAAUGAGACUGCCGGUGACAAACCGGAGGAAGGUGGGGAUGACGUCAGGUCCUCAUGGCCCUUAUGGGUAGGGCUACACACGUCAUACAAUGGCCGGUACAGAGGGUUGCCAACCCGCGAGGGGGAGCCAAUCCCAGAAAACCGGUCGUAGUCCGGAUCGCAGUCUGCAACUCGACUGCGUGAAGUCGGAAUCGCUAGUAAUCGCGGAUCAGCUUGCCGCGGUGAAUACGUUCCCGGGUCUUGUACACACCGCCCGUCACACCAUGGGAGCGGGUCCUGCCAGAAGUAGUUAGCCUAACCGCAAGGAGGGCGAUUACCACGGCAGGGUCCGUGACUGGGGUGAAGUCGUAACAAGGUA